GACGAACGCUGGCGGCGUGCCUAACACAUGCAAGUCGAACGGAGAAUUUAGCAAUGAAUUCUUAGUGGCGAACGGGUGAGUAACGCGUAGACAACCUGCCUUUUAGAUGGGGACAACACCGCGAAAGUGGUGCUAAUACCGAAUGUUGCAUUUUGAUCGCAUGAUUGAGAUACUAAAGAUGGCCUCUCUUUAUAAGCUAUCGCUAAAAGAUGGGUCUGCGUCUGAUUAGCUAGUUGGUGAGGUAAUGGCUCAACAAGGCGACGAGCAGUAGCCGGUCUGAGAGGAUGAACGGCCACACUGGGACUGAGACACGGCCCAGACUCCUACGGGAGGCAGCAGUGGGGAAUCUUCCGCAAUGGACGAAAGUCUGACGGAGCAACGCCGCGUGAGUGAAGAAGGUUUUCGGAUCGUAAAACUCUGUUUUCAGGGACGAAUGUGCAGAUUGUGAAUAAUGAUUUGUAAUGACGGUACCUGAGUAGAAAGCCACGGCUAACUACGUGCCAGCAGCCGCCGUAA
Molecule: ribosomal RNA, 516 nt
Filed under: uncultured bacterium
Lineage: Bacteria
Description: partial 16S ribosomal RNA
Rfam family: Bacterial small subunit ribosomal RNA
Source: RNAcentral